Molecule: ribosomal RNA, 449 nt
Filed under: uncultured bacterium
Lineage: Bacteria
Description: partial 16S ribosomal RNA
Rfam family: Bacterial small subunit ribosomal RNA
Source: RNAcentral
AACGAACGCUGGCGGCAUGCCUAACACAUGCAAGUCGAACGAGAUCUUCGGGUCUAGUGGCGCACGGGUGCGUAACGCGUGGGAAUCUGCCCUUUGGUUCGGAAUAACAGUUGGAAACGACUGCUAAUACCGGAUGAUGACGAAAGUCCAAAGAUUUAUCGCCAGAGGAUGAGCCCGCGUAGGAUUAGCUAGUUGGUGUGGUAAGGGCGCACCAAGGCGACGAUCCUUAGCUGGUCUGAGAGGAUGAUCAGCCACACUGGGACUGAGACACGGCCCAGACUCCUACGGGAGGCAGCAGAGGGGAAUAUUGGACAAUGGGCGAAAGCCUGAUCCAGCAAUGCCGCGUGAGUGAUGAAGGCCUUAGGGUUGUAAAGCUCUUUUACCCGGGAUGAUAAUGACAGUACCGGGAGAAUGAGCUCCGGCUAACUCCGUGCCAGCCGCCGCGGUAA